AAUACGAAGGGACCUAGCGUAGUUCGGAAUUACUGGGCUUAAAGAGUUCGUAGGUGGUUGAAAUAGUUGGUGGUGAAAUCCCAGAGCUUAACUCUGGAACUGCCAUCAAAACUUUUCAGCUAGAGUUUGAUAGAGGAAAGCAGAAUUUCUAGUGUAGAGGUGAAAUUCGUAGAUAUUAGAAAGAAUACCAAUUGCGAAGGCAGCUUUCUGGAUCAUUACUGACACUGAGGAACGAAAGCAUGGGUAGCGAAGAGGAUUAGAUACCCUCGUAGUCCAUGCCGUAAACGAUGUGUGUUAGACGUUGGAAAUUUAUUUUCAGUGUCGCAGCGAAAGCGAUAAACACACCGCCUGGGGAGUACGACCGCAAGGUUAAAACUCAAAUGAAUUGACGGGGACCCGCACAAGUAGUGGAGCAUGUGGUUUAAUUCGAAGAUACGCGCAGAACCUUACCAACACUUGACAUGUUCGUCGCGACUUUAAGAGAUUAAAGUUUUCGGUUCGGCCGGACGAAACACAGGUGCUGCAUGGCUGUCGUCAGCUCGUGUCGUGAGAUGUUGGGUUAAGUCCCGCAACGAGCGCAACCCUCACUUUUAGUUGCCAUCAUUAAGUUGGGCACUCUGAAAGAACUGCCAGUGAUAAGCUGGAGGAAGGUGGGGAUGACGUCAAGUCCUCAUGGCCCUUACGUGUUGGGCUACACACGUGCUACAAUGGUAUCUACAACAGGAAGCAAAACGGCGACGUUAAGCAAAUCCUUAAAAGAUACCUCAGUUCGGAUUGCACUCUGCAACUCGAGUGCAUGAAGCUGGAAUUACUAGUAAUCGUGGAUCAGCGUGCCACGGUGAAUGCGUUCCCGGGUCUUGUACACACCGCCCGUCACACCAUGGGAGUUGGUUCUACCUUAAGGCAAGGUUUAAAACCCUUGACCAUGGUAUAGUCAGC
RNAcentral lists this ribosomal RNA (939 nucleotides) under uncultured bacterium. RNAcentral's name for it is "bacterial SSU rRNA". It matches the Rfam family "Bacterial small subunit ribosomal RNA", at positions 522 to 1472 of the family's 1533-position model. The record is from RNAcentral.